Molecule: long non-coding RNA, 472 nt
Filed under: Fukomys damarensis (Damara mole-rat)
Lineage: Eukaryota; Metazoa; Chordata; Mammalia; Rodentia; Bathyergidae
Description: lncRNA (ENSFDAG00000028698.1)
Source: RNAcentral
UUGAGGCACCUCUGAUACCUCUACCUUUCCUCCAUUCCACUAUCCACGAAGACCUAAGGUGAAAACUCAAAAACAAUUACUCGUCCUAAGUCCCAAAGGCCUGAUCACUGUCUCGGAACGCUUUUUCUGGGGAGUUUCACUCCCUCGGUGGGAGCAACCUUGCUGUUCCUCUUACCGCCACGGUCUUCCGGGCACCCUUCUGGCGUAAACCUCUGAAGCCACAACUGUAAGGUGAAGGGAAGGGAUUUGGACUCUGAAAAGGGAAUGUUGGCACUUUUUAAACUGAAGUACUUUAGGAAACUGCGCUGUACAAACAACUCAAAGCCCUUCUCCGAACUUCUGUGGGUACAGUCAGGGUCACGGAAACAGGAAUGGGAAAUCACAGUCGCAGCCUUCCUGAGUGCAAACGUAGUGCUUGCGUGCCUCACCAAUAACCCUCUGAGAGAUUUCAGACAGAAUCUGACCCCAGGCA